UGUAAGCGUAUACCAAAGUUGUUGCAGUUAAAACGCUCGUAGUCGGAAUUUGGCAGUUCCGGAUGUGUGCACGUCGUGUGCGCACUUCGCGGGGAUUGCUUUUGUGGUCUUGCGUAGGAUGAGGCACUUUUAUUAGUGAACGUCCUCACGCAACCACUUUUUACUGUGAGAAAAUCAGAGUGCUCAAAGCAGGCAUUUGCCGUGAAUGUAUUAGCAUGGAAUAAUAGAAUAGGACUUAGUCUUAUUUUGUUGGUUUGUUAGGACCGAGUAAUGAUUAAGAGGGACAGUUGGGGGCAUUUGUAUUUCGGCGCUAGAGGUGAAAUUCUUAGAUUGCCGAAAGACAAACUGCUGCGAAAGCGUCUGCCAAGGAUGUUUUCAUUGA
RNAcentral lists this ribosomal RNA (382 nucleotides) under uncultured eukaryote. RNAcentral's name for it is "partial 18S ribosomal RNA". It matches the Rfam family "Eukaryotic small subunit ribosomal RNA", at positions 592 to 976 of the family's 1831-position model. The record is from RNAcentral.